GUACUUCCAAAGUACAUAUACUAAAAUUGGAACGAUACAGAGUAGAUUAGCAUGGCCCCUGCGCAAGGAUGACACGCUUUCGACGGUACCCAACCGUAAAUAA
This is a non-coding RNA of Ixodes scapularis (black-legged tick), 103 nucleotides long. The record is from Rfam. Lineage: Eukaryota; Metazoa; Arthropoda; Arachnida; Ixodida; Ixodidae.